UACGUAGGCAGCAAGCGUUGUUCGGAAUUACUGGGCGUAAAGAGUGUGUAGGCGGUGCUCUAAGUUGGUGUGAAAUCUCCCGGCUCAACUGGGAGGGUGCGCCGGAAACUGGAGUGCUGGAGCGCGGGAGAGGAAAGCGGAAUUCCUGGUGUAGCGGUGAAAUGCGUAGAUAUCAGGAGGAACACCUGCGGUGUAGACGGCUUACUGGACCGUAACUGACGCUGAGGCACGAAAGCGUGGGUAGCAAACAGG
RNAcentral lists this ribosomal RNA (252 nucleotides) under uncultured bacterium. RNAcentral describes it as "partial 16S ribosomal RNA". It matches the Rfam family "Bacterial small subunit ribosomal RNA", at positions 524 to 776 of the family's 1533-position model. The record is from RNAcentral.